GGAGAGGUGGCAGAGUGGUUGAAUGCGGCGCACUCGAAAUGCGUUAAUAGGGCGACCUAUUCGUGGGUUCAAAUCCCACCCUCUCCG
RNAcentral lists this transfer RNA (87 nucleotides) under Fischerella sp. RNAcentral describes it as "tRNA-Ser". It matches the Rfam family "tRNA". Rfam says of the family: Transfer RNA (tRNA) molecules are approximately 80 nucleotides in length. Their secondary structure includes four short double-helical elements and three loops (D, anti-codon, and T loops). Lineage: Bacteria; Bacillati; Cyanobacteriota; Cyanophyceae; Nostocales; Hapalosiphonaceae. The record is from RNAcentral.